Molecule: ribosomal RNA, 426 nt
Filed under: uncultured Alcaligenes sp.
Lineage: Bacteria; Pseudomonadati; Pseudomonadota; Betaproteobacteria; Burkholderiales; Alcaligenaceae
Description: bacterial SSU rRNA
Rfam family: Bacterial small subunit ribosomal RNA
Source: RNAcentral
CAGCGCGAGAGAGCUUGCUCUCUUGGCGGCGAGUGGCGGACGGGUGAGUAAUAUAUCGGAACGUGCCCAGUAGCGGGGGAUAACUACUCGAAAGAGUGGCUAAUACCGCAUACGCCCUACGGGGGAAAGGGGGGGAUCGCAAGACCUCUCACUAUUGGAGCGGCCGAUAUCGGAUUAGCUAGUUGGUGGGGUAAAGGCUCACCAAGGCAACGAUCCGUAGCUGGUUUGAGAGGACGACCAGCCACACUGGGACUGAGACACGGCCCAGACUCCUACGGGAGGCAGCAGUGGGGAAUUUUGGACAAUGGGGGAAACCCUGAUCCAGCCAUCCCGCGUGUAUGAUGAAGGCCUUCGGGUUGUAAAGUACUUUUGGCAGAGAAGAAAAGGUAUCCCCUAAUACGGGAUACUGCUGACGGUAUCUGCAGA